This 510-nucleotide ribosomal RNA is filed under the name Capitophorus hippophaes. RNAcentral's name for it is "partial 16S ribosomal RNA". The record is from RNAcentral. Lineage: Eukaryota; Metazoa; Arthropoda; Insecta; Hemiptera; Aphididae.
AUUAAGUUUAAUUUAAUAUAGGAUCUGCUCAAUGAUUUAUUAAAUAGCUGCAGUAUUUUGACUGUGCAAAGGUAGCAUAAUAAUUAGUCUUUUAAUUGAGGACUUGUAUGAAAGAUUUGAUGAGAAAUAAACUUUAUUGUUUAUAUAGUUAAAAUUUUAUUUUUAAGUAAAAAAGCUUAAAUUUUUUAAAGGGACGAUAAGACCCUAUAAAACUUUAUAAGUAUUAUUAUUAAUUUUUUUGGAAUUAUUAUAUGUAUAUUAUUAUUAAUAUUUAUUUUAUUGGGGUGAUAAAAAAAAUUGAUUAACUUUUUUUAAAAUUUUACAUUAUUUAAUGGAUAUUUGAAUUAAAAUUUUUAAUUAAAGGAAAAAGUUACUUUAGGGAUAACAGCGUAAUUAAUUUUUUAAGUUCAAAUUUAAAAAUUAGUUUGCGACCUCGAUGUUGAAUUAAGAUAAAUCUUAGGUGCAAAAUUUUAAGUAUUAGGUCUGUUCGACCUUUAAAUUCUUACGUGA